Molecule: small nucleolar RNA, 91 nt
Filed under: Medicago truncatula (barrel medic)
Lineage: Eukaryota; Viridiplantae; Streptophyta; Magnoliopsida; Fabales; Fabaceae
Description: Small nucleolar RNA Z159/U59
Rfam family: Small nucleolar RNA Z159/U59
About the family: This family consists of several snoRNA Z159 or U59 sequences which are members of the C/D class of snoRNA which contain the C (UGAUGA) and D (CUGA) box motifs. This family seems to be found exclusively in rice.
Source: Rfam by way of RNAcentral
GUCUCCGAUGAUGAACAAAAUGAUAUAACUUUCGUUCUUCUGAGAUGUUUCUGUGCGGAAGAAAAUUAUUGGAGACCUGAACUGAGGAGAC